This 497-nucleotide ribosomal RNA is filed under the name uncultured bacterium. Its description in RNAcentral is "partial 16S ribosomal RNA". It matches the Rfam family "Bacterial small subunit ribosomal RNA", at positions 28 to 507 of the family's 1533-position model. The record is from RNAcentral.
GACGAACGCUGGCGGCGUGCCUAAUACAUGCAAGUCGAGCGAUGAAGCUUGGUGCUUGCACCAAUUUGAAGAGCAGCGAACGGGUGAGUAACGCGUGGGGAAUCUGCCUUUGAGCGGGGGACAACAUUUGGAAACGAAUGCUAAUACCGCAUAAUAACUUUAAACAUAAGUUUUAAGUUUGAAAGAUGCAUUUGCAUCACUCAAAGAUGAUCCCGCGUUGUAUUAGCUAGUUGGUGAGGUAAAGGCUCAACAAGGCGAUGAUACAUAGCCGACCUGAGAGGGUGGUCAGCCACAUUGGGACUGGGACACGGCCCAAACGCCUACGGGAGGCAGCAGUAGGGAAUCUUCGGCAAUGGAGGGAAGUCUGACCGAGCAACGCCGCGUGAGGGAAUAAGGUUUUCGGGUCGGAAAACUCUGUUUGUAGAGAAGAACGUUAGUGAGAGUGGAAAGCUCAUCAAGUGACGGUAACUACCCAGAAAGCGACGGCUAACUACGUG